UCUGUGAAUGGCUCCUUACAUCAGCAGUCAUCUCCGUGGUAGAGUGUGGAAGGCACCGCCCUGCCAGGUGCCCGCUUGGAUAUCCACCAAAACCUAGUGGCUAAUACACGGUCGCCCCGGUCUGCUACGGCACGGUCUCGCCAGAAACGCUCAUCCGCUUUUGCCUGGCCGGCAGUGGAUUGCGCCCAGCCGCCCCUGAAGACCAGCGCCUGGAAAGGGCAGCGUGUCGUGGUUGACUCAGGCUGGUCCCCCGCGGACAACUGCGCUGGCAGAGUGGUGGCCUCGGCCACAGCAUUGCUUGACCACACGAACUUCUGACCUAUCAGCCUCGAUGGUGGUGUCGUGGACCACCAUGGCAGUGACGGGUAACGGAGAAUCAGGGUUCGAUUCCGGAGAGGGAGCCUGAGAGACGGCUACCACUUCUAAGGAGGGCAGCAGGCACGCAAAUUGCCCAAUGCUGAGACGUUCCUGGUGAGGCAGCGACGAACUGCAGCAAUUCCGCCUGUCCUCAGUGACCAGCGGGACUUGUAAUGGAUGCAAUCCAAACACAGUGAUGAGUAUCGACUGGAGGGCAAGUCUGGUGCCAGCAGCUGCGA
RNAcentral lists this ribosomal RNA (596 nucleotides) under Lepocinclis sphagnophila. Its description in RNAcentral is "SSU rRNA". It matches the Rfam family "Eukaryotic small subunit ribosomal RNA", at positions 86 to 579 of the family's 1831-position model. Lineage: Eukaryota; Euglenozoa; Euglenophyceae; Euglenales; Phacaceae. The record is from RNAcentral.